CUUACAUGCAGUCGAACGGGGGACUUCGGUCCCUAGUGGCAAACGGGUGAGUAAUGGAUAGGGAUCUACCGGGAAGAUGGGGAUACCCCCUCGAAAGAGGGAACAAUACCCAGUACGCUCCGCAAGGAGGAAAGGUGGUGCAAGCCACCGCUUUCCGACGAACCUAUCUCCUAUCAGCUAGUUGGUGAGGUAAUGGCUCACCAAGGCUAUGACGGGUAGCUGGUCUGAGAGGAUGAUCAGCCACACUGGAACUGAGACACGGUCCAGACUCCUACGGGAGGCAGCAGUGGGGAAUUUUGGGCAAUGAGCGAAAGCUUGACCCAGCGACACUGCGUGGGCGAUGACGAUCUUUGGAUUGUAAAGCCCUUUUAUGGAAGAGUAAGAAGAUGAUUAGGAAAUGAGUUGUCUUUUGCAAGUAUUCCAUGAAUAAGCCCCAGCCAACUACGUGCCAGCAGCUGCGGUAAUACGUAGGGGGCAAGCGUUGUCCGGAAUUACUGGGUGUAAAGGGUGUGCAGGCGUCCUUUUAAGUUGGUUGUGAAAACCCGGAGCUCAACUCCGGAACUGCAGCCAAUACUGAAAGGAUCGAGGGUAUGAGAAGGAAGCGGAAUUCUCGGUGUAGCGGUGAAAUGCGUAGAUAUCGAGAGGAACACCUGCGGCGAAAGCGGCUUCCUAACAUACUUCUGACGCUCAUACACGAAAGCUAGGGGAGCAAACAGGAUUAGAUACCCUGGUAGUCCUAGCCAUAAACGAUGAAUACUAGGUGUUGGAGGAUUCACUCCUUCAGCGUCGCAGCUAACGCGUUAAGUAUUCCACCUG
This 816-nucleotide ribosomal RNA is filed under the name uncultured bacterium. Its description in RNAcentral is "bacterial SSU rRNA". It matches the Rfam family "Bacterial small subunit ribosomal RNA", at positions 50 to 875 of the family's 1533-position model. The record is from RNAcentral.